RNAcentral lists this ribosomal RNA (492 nucleotides) under uncultured bacterium. Its description in RNAcentral is "partial 16S ribosomal RNA". It matches the Rfam family "Bacterial small subunit ribosomal RNA", at positions 28 to 507 of the family's 1533-position model. The record is from RNAcentral.
GAUGAACGCUGGCUACAGGCUUAACACAUGCAAGUCGAGGGGAAACGGCAUUGAGUGCUUGCACUGAAUGGACGUCGACCGGCGCACGGGUGAGUAACGCGUAUCCAACCUUCCCGUUACUGCGGGAUAACCUGCCGAAAGGCAGACUAAUACCGCAUGUUCUUCGAUGACGGCAUCAGAUUCGAAGCAAAGAUCCGUCGGUAACGGAGGGGGAUGCGUCUGAUUAGCUAGUUGGCGGGGCGACGGCCCACCAAGGCGACGAUCAGUAGGGGUUCUGAGAGGAAGGUCCCCCACAUUGGAACUGAGACACGGACCAAACUCCUACGGGACGCAGCAGUGAGGAAUAUUGGUCAAUGGGCGGGAGCCUGAACCAGCCAAGUAGAGUGCAGGAUGACGGCCCUACGGGUUGUAAACUGCUUUUAUGCGGGGAUAAAGUGAGGGACGCGUCCCUUUUUGCAGGUACCGCAUGAAUAAGGACCGGCUAAUUCCGUG